CUACGGGGGGCAGCAGUGGGGAAUAUUGCACAAUGGGCGCAAGCCUGAUGCAGCCAUGCCGCGUGUAUGAAGAAGGCCUUCGGGUUGUAAAGUACUUUCAGCGGGGAGGAAGGGAGUAAAGUUAAUACCUUUGCUCAUUGACGUUACCCGCAGAAGAAGCACCGGCUAACUCCGUGCCAGCAGCCGCGGUAAUACGGAGGGUGCAAGCGUUAAUCGGAAUGACUGGGCGUAAAGCGCACGCAGGCGGUUUGUUAAGUCAGAUGCGAAAUCCCCGGGCUCAACCUGGGAACUGCAUCUGAUACUGGCAAGCUUGAGUCUCGUAGAGGGGGGUAGAAUUCCAGGUGUAGCGGUGAAAUGCGUAGAGAUCUGGAGGAAUACCGGUGGCGAAGGCGGCCCCCUGGACGAAGACUGACGCUCAGGUGCGAAAGCGUGGGGAGCAAACAGGAUUAGAUACCCGGGUAGUC
This 464-nucleotide ribosomal RNA is filed under the name uncultured bacterium. RNAcentral's name for it is "partial 16S ribosomal RNA". It matches the Rfam family "Bacterial small subunit ribosomal RNA", at positions 339 to 795 of the family's 1533-position model. The record is from RNAcentral.